Molecule: ribosomal RNA, 120 nt
Filed under: Pteropus alecto (black flying fox)
Lineage: Eukaryota; Metazoa; Chordata; Mammalia; Chiroptera; Pteropodidae
Source: RNAcentral
AGAAGUAACAAUUUCAUCUACGGCCAUGCCUAAUCUCGUCUGAUCUCGGAAGCUAAGCAGUGUCGGGUUUGGUUAGUCCUUGGAUGGGAGACCACCUAAGAAUACCAGGUGCUGCAGGCG